This 67-nucleotide transfer RNA is filed under the name Hoplistodera incisa. RNAcentral describes it as "tRNA-Leu". Lineage: Eukaryota; Metazoa; Arthropoda; Insecta; Hemiptera; Pentatomidae. The record is from RNAcentral.
ACUAUUUUGGCAGAUUAGUGCGGUAAAUUUAGAAUUUAUGAAUGUAAUUAUUUUAUUACAAAUAGUA